GCGAGAGGAGGGAGCCGCUGCGAGCCGGGCUCGGGAUCCCCGAGCACCUCCUUUGAUAGCAUGCUUGUAUGGACCAUUCAUCACUAUUCUAAGACCUAAAUGAAGAUGUGUCACUCUGUGCCUCAAAGCAACAACCUGGAACCCCCAUAUUUACCUCUGUCAUAUAAUUAUGAUCUGUUUUGUACAAAGUAUGCCUUGUGAGGCAUCAUUUUAAAAGUCUUGAUCUGUUGAACAUCAAUAUCCUGUUGGACUGUGUGCUCUGUAAUUGUGUGUGAAGUUUUGCUAUGUGUGUGUUUCUCAAAUAUAUUGUGAGGCUUACAACACCCACAACCAAUCUUUCAGGUACAACAAAGGAACAGCCAGAUGCACUGAUAGUCCAUUAAAGGGAAUCCAUACUCCCUAGGACUAUCCUAGGAGCUGUAUACACUGGAAACUUCUCAGAGAUAGCAUGUAAACAUGGAGCAAGCUGGCAGAAGCUGUAAAAGAGGGGAAGUGACAUCAUCACUGGACCUCAGUCCCCCCAGAACUCAACACCUGGAAACACAUCCAGAGGAGAAAGACUUUGAACUGGAGACGUGGUCCCAGGCUGAAGGAAUAUUCCAGCCUGUGUACUGAAGAUCUGUAAUCUGCUUGUAUUAUCUAUCAGGGUGAGACACUGCUUGAUUAUAGAACUUAGAUUGUUAGCUUGCUUUUAUUUUCUUUGGUAAGCAUUCUAUCCUUUAUGCCCAUCACUUAUAAUUAGUUAAAAUCUAUCUUUCUGUCGUUAAUAAACCUGUUUUAUGUUUUACCUAAAAGUGUAUUUGGCACUGGGGAAAACUCUGCUCAGUGUACAAAAAGCUGGUGCAUGUCCUCUCCACAUUGAGGGAGAGGUGGACUGGGUAAUAAACUUACACUGGUCAGGCUUCUGACCAGGGCAAGACAGUACAACUCUGGGGUUCAUGUAACUCAGCUGGGUGUGUUCCUGCCUCUAGAUGUCUGUGUAAGUGCAGUACCUGGAGAGGGUUGCAGCUUUUCACAACAUCAGAGUGUGAGAGGAGCCCAGAUUGGUAAACCAGAGGGCUCAGUGGUACCCCAGUUCCAGGUUGCACCCUGGGGAACCCAUCACAGAAGACCUAUCCAGGCAGGAUCCUUCCGGUUUCAUGACUGUUAUACUUUCAGAAUCCUCUAUUUAAUAGCCAGACAUUUGCUGUUCUCUGAGUGUAAGGACGAGUCAUUGCUGAGACUGACUCUGGCAAGCAUCAAUACCAGCAGGAUUCAAUUGUAGAGUGAUUAGACAUUAUCCUCCUUACCUGGAGUACAAAUACACAAAGAAAUGAAGAAAGGGACUUCUGGCAGUUGUGUUGUGGUGCUGUAAAGCUACCAGAUUGGCUUGUUAUAUACAGGAAUUUCAGAUGUGUAGGAAUUUGAGACAUUACCAUAAGCUCCUCUAAAUUAACAAACCCCAUUGGAAAAAGAAUUGUACCACUUAAAUAAUUGUCCCAAUCUGUGAGAGUCACAUAAGUGUACAUUGUGAAGGAAGUACUUUUAUUAAUUGUUUUAAUAAUUAUCAUAAUCUAAAGCACUAAAUGAUUGAAAAAUCUAUAUUGAAGUCAUAUUGUUUCCUUUAGCAGUUAUAAGAGAGCAUGAAGACAUGAAAGAUCACAGGAUUUUUGCCUUAUGAAUCACACCAAUUCAUGCCUUUGCGUUAUUUAGAAUGACUGAAAUUCAUUAUACAGAAUUUGGUCCAUGGCAGUCAUCUGAUCUUAUCCCAGGGUGGUGUUUUUUCAGAAUGCAAUUUUAGAGGCAUUUAGUACAAUAGAGCAGUUUGCAGAAUGUUUGAGAACUUGUCUAUUGCAGAUGCCAAUAGGCUGUAGGUGUUGUAAACACUUGCAAGUUCCUUCUUAAGCCAUUUUGAGUUAAUGAGUAAUAUAUGAAUUCUUAUAUUGCUGUAUUCUUGCUUCAGGUCAGAAUUAUAUUUUGCCACAACAAAACUCGGGGCUCAAUAUAUUUUUUUCUUACACAAGGAUCUUACCUGAAUAGUAUAGUAUGAAAGAGUUGAGAAGCCCACUGAAAUUCUUGCUGAAAGCUUUUACUGCUGGAGCGAAGGUUCUCUGUACAUUAUUUUACCUGAUGUGUGUUUUUUGGGGAGUCACUUAAUUUUUCUAUCUGUAAAAUGAGGAUAAUUAUACUCACUCAGGGAUGUUGUGAAGGUUGAUUAGCAAUAUCACUGACACCAACUAUUCAGAAAUCAUGAGGCUGGUUUAAAAAGAAUAAGAUUUUAAAAUAUAAUAAAGGUGGUGUUCUU
Molecule: long non-coding RNA, 2284 nt
Organism: Gopherus flavomarginatus (Mexican gopher tortoise)
Lineage: Eukaryota; Metazoa; Chordata; Testudines; Testudinidae
Exons: 2
Source: RefSeq, a predicted model, not a curated record